Molecule: ribosomal RNA, 491 nt
Filed under: uncultured bacterium
Lineage: Bacteria
Description: partial 16S ribosomal RNA
Rfam family: Bacterial small subunit ribosomal RNA
Source: RNAcentral
AGUGAACGCUGGCGGUAGGCCUAACACAUGCAAGUCGAACGGCAGCACAGUAAGAGCUUGCUCUUACGGGUGGCGAGUGGCGGACGGGUGAGGAAUACAUCGGAAUCUACUUUUUCGUGGGGGAUAACGUAGGGAAACUUACGCUAAUACCGCAUACGACCUACGGGUGAAAGCAGGGGAUCUUCGGACCUUGCGCGAUUGAAUGAGCCGACGUCGGAUUAGCUAGUUGGCGGGGUAAAGGCCCACCAAGGCGACGAUCCGUAGCUGGUCUGAGAGGAUGAUCAGCCACACUGGAACUGAGACACGGUCCAGACUCCUACGGGAGGCAGCAGUGGGGAAUAUUGGACAAUGGGCGCAAGCCUGAUCCAGCCAUACCGCGUGGGUGAAGAAGGCCUUCGGGUUGUAAAGCCCUUUUGUUGGGAAAGAAAAGCAGCAGGUUAAUACCCCGCUGUUCUGACGGUACCCAAAGAAUAAACACCGGCGAACUUCGU